CUGGACGGAUGCUGGUGAGAGAGCUGGCAGUGUUAAACACACAGAUUUGCAAGAUUGAGCAGCACAUUUUCAUCUCUCGUGCUGGCAUGAUGGUAUUGGAUGAACUGUCCUCUCAGCUUGAAGAGGUAGCCAUUCAUCUGCAGUACGUGGAUGAGGAGGUUCGGCAGCAGCCCUGUCUGGCUUUAAUCCCUUGGUCUGGACCCUUGUGUGUUCCUAUCUUU
This is a long non-coding RNA of Coregonus clupeaformis (lake whitefish), 221 nucleotides long. RefSeq lists it as uncharacterized. The transcript has 3 exons. Lineage: Eukaryota; Metazoa; Chordata; Actinopteri; Salmoniformes; Salmonidae. The record is from RefSeq and is a predicted model, not a curated record.